UACGUAGGGUGCGAGCGUUAAUCGGAAUUACUGGGCGUAAAGCGUGCGCAGGCGGUUCGUUAAGUUCGUUGUGAAAGCCCCGGGCUCAACCUGGGAACUGCAAUGGAAACUGGCGGGCUUGAGUGCGGCAGAGGGGGGUGGAAUUCCGCGUGUAGCAGUGAAAUGCGUAGAUAUGCGGAGGAACACCGAUGGCGAAGGCAAUCCCCUGGACCUGUACUGACGCUCAUGCACGAAAGCGUGGGGAGCAAACAGG
RNAcentral lists this ribosomal RNA (253 nucleotides) under uncultured bacterium. Its description in RNAcentral is "partial 16S ribosomal RNA". It matches the Rfam family "Bacterial small subunit ribosomal RNA", at positions 524 to 776 of the family's 1533-position model. The record is from RNAcentral.